RNAcentral lists this ribosomal RNA (510 nucleotides) under uncultured bacterium. RNAcentral describes it as "partial 16S ribosomal RNA". It matches the Rfam family "Bacterial small subunit ribosomal RNA", at positions 28 to 507 of the family's 1533-position model. The record is from RNAcentral.
GACGAACGCUGGCGGCGUGCUUAACACAUGCAAGUCGAACGAAGAGCGUUGGAAGCUUGCUUCUAUCAAUCUUAGUGGCGAACGGGUGAGUAACGCGUAAUCAACCUGCCCUUCAGAGGGGGACAACAGUUGGAAACGACUGCUAAUACCGCAUACGGUCUAAUCUCGGCAUCGAGGAUAGAUGAAAGGUGGCCUCUACAUGUAAGCUAUCACUGAAGGAGGGGAUUGCGUCUGAUUAGCUAGUUGGAGGGGUAACGGCCCACCAAGGCGAUGAUCAGUAGCCGGUCUGAGAGGAUGAACGGCCACAUUGGGACUGAGACACGGCCCAGACUCCUACGGGAGGCAGCAGUGGGGAAUCUUCCGCAAUGGACGAAAGUCUGACGGAGCAACGCCGCGUGAGUGAUGACGGCCUUCGGGUUGUAAAGCUCUGUUAAUCGGGACGAAAGGCCUUCUUGCGAAUAGUGAGAAGGAUUGACGGUACCGGAAUAGAAAGCCACGGCUAACUACGUG